UCAAAUAAACCCAAGGGUGGGUGGCGGAUCUGGGUUACACGGGCGUGGGAGGUCAAAAACGACCGGCCCAGGCUGGUUUGGCAGCUUCCCAAACGCUGAGCUGCACUUUCAAUACAGUUCAUAGCAGAAUAUGUACAGCAUGCCAAACAUGCCCUUUAAUUCUCCCACGUCGUGUAUUGUAAAGGCGAUUACUCGUUGUGCAUGUUUU
This 208-nucleotide long non-coding RNA is filed under the name Citrus sinensis (sweet orange). RNAcentral's name for it is "long non-coding RNA (CSIN_LNC002809)". The record is from RNAcentral. Lineage: Eukaryota; Viridiplantae; Streptophyta; Magnoliopsida; Sapindales; Rutaceae.